UACGUAGGGACCAAGCGUUGUCCGGAUUUAUUGGGCGUAAAGAGCGUGUAGGCGGCCAUACAGGUCCGUUGUGAAAACUGGAGGCUUAACCUCCAGACGUCGAUGGAAACCGUAUGGCUAGAGUCCGGAAGAGGGAGAGUAGGUAAUUCCGUGGGUGUACGGUGAAAUGCGCAGAUAUCAGGAGGAACACCGAUGGCGAAGGCAGGUCUCUGGGCUGUAACUGACGCUGAGGAGCGAAAGCAUGGGGAGCGAACAGG
RNAcentral lists this ribosomal RNA (257 nucleotides) under uncultured bacterium. Its description in RNAcentral is "partial 16S ribosomal RNA". It matches the Rfam family "Bacterial small subunit ribosomal RNA", at positions 524 to 776 of the family's 1533-position model. The record is from RNAcentral.